CACAUGCAAGUCGAACGGUAACAUGAUGUGCUUGCNCAUCGNUGACGAGUGGCGGACGGGUGAGUAAUGCUUGGGAACUUGCCUUUGCGAGGGGGAUAACAGUUGGAAACGACUGCUAAUACCGCAUAAUGUCUUCGGACCAAACGGGGCUUCGGCUCCGGCGCAAAGAGAGGCCCAAGUGAGAUUAGCUAGUUGGUAAGGUAACGGCUUACCAAGGCGACGAUCUCUAGCUGUUCUGAGAGGAAGAUCAGCCACACUGGGACUGAGACACGGCCCAGACUCCUACGGGAGGCAGCAGUGGGGAAUAUUGCACAAUGGGGGAAACCCUGAUGCAGCCAUGCCGCGUGUGUGAAGAAGGCCUUCGGGUUGUAAAGCACUUUCAGUUGUGAGGAAAAGUUAGUAGUUAAUACCUGCUAGCCGUGACGUUAACAACAGAAGAAGCACCGGCUAACUCCGUGCCAGCAGCCGCGGUAAUACGGAGGGUGCGAGCGUUAAUCGGAAUUACUGGGCGUAAAGCGCACGCAGGCGGUUUGUUAAGCUAGAUGUGAAAGCCCCGGGCUCAACCUGGGAUGGUCAUUUAGAACUGGCAGACUAGAGUCUUGGAGAGGGGAGUGGAAUUCCAGGUGUAGCGGUGAAAUGCGUAGAUAUCUGGAGGAACAUCAGUGGCGAAGGCGACUCCCUGG
RNAcentral lists this ribosomal RNA (683 nucleotides) under Alteromonas sp. MED100. Its description in RNAcentral is "bacterial SSU rRNA". It matches the Rfam family "Bacterial small subunit ribosomal RNA", at positions 52 to 732 of the family's 1533-position model. Lineage: Bacteria; Pseudomonadati; Pseudomonadota; Gammaproteobacteria; Alteromonadales; Alteromonadaceae. The record is from RNAcentral.